CGAAUAAUUCACAUUCGCAAAUAUUCAGUUUUGAUGAGAUUUAGGCAUAAUUUGUUUGCUAAAAGCCACUUGUGAACAUUGAUUAAGUCAUGAUUAAUUUUGGAUUCAAUUUUGGGUACUGCUUCAUCAGAAGCAGCUAGUGGGAGUAAUAUCGCUUGCAAACAUUCUUACUGUUAAUUUCUUAAUACAAUUUGGCAAAUCGUUUAUAUAAAUUAACAAAAUGUCCCAAAAUAGAGCCUUGGGGGACUCCAUAAUCUAUUUUUUGAGGUUUGGAUAGACAUCAUUAACACCUUUGUGUACCAUUUUCUAAAUAUGAGCUAAUAGGAUUUCAGGCGGAUAAUUACAUGCCGUAUAGAAAACAAGUUUUGCAUUAAAAUUUCAUGAUUCACAGUAUCGAAAGCUUUUUUAGAUGAAGGAAAACUGUAAUAUUGAGCAUAUACUAUCAUCCACUAUAUCUCUGUACCAUUCGUUAGUGGAAUAAAGCAUUGCAUCCGCUGUUGAGUCUAAAACCAAACGGAUGCUGGGAAAUCAGGUUAUUGUUUUUUAAGUAAGUAUAAUAAUUGUUUAUAUAUAUAUGAAGGAUUUUUUCAAAGAUUUUGCUAAUUGCUGACAGAAUUGAAGCGCUUGAAUUCUUAACGCUAUUAUAUAAUUGUUACUAAUGUAUUCUGUCCUUAAUGCACUACAUGAUACGUGCACAUGUUUACACAAAAAAUUCCUUCGAUAUUAAAGUCAAACUGACAUCUAGUUUUUUGAACAUUAAACAUUUAUUUAAACACGGUAAAUUCUUCAGUAUAGGUACCAUUUACAAAUCUUACAUCUACUAAACUAAUUUCAAUAUUAAUACUAUAUAAAACACACUGAUUUCCAAGAUAGGCGUGUGGCCGGAAUCCCGAGAAAAGUCGAUUGAUUUCAUUUUUGAAAUGCCUUAAUGAAAUUACUGUACGUGCAGAAUGGGGUAUACUGUAGCAAUAACUACGCUUCAAAUAUAGCCAAUACAUUCAUGGUUUCGGAAAAUUUUAAAGCUUCAUUUCAGCAGUUCGUAAGUUAUAGUCAGUGCCGCGGAAAUAAAAACAAAUUUUACCAAUACUCUGGCGCUAAUUCUUGAUUGUUUUGUACAUCAAUAUAGACUUGUGCUUUUUCCUACGUAAUGAUACUGAGAUUCAUAGAUUGUCCCAAUGCAACUUCUCUAAGAGAAUGCUGGAACUGACAUCGUAACUGGACUUCGUAAUCAUGCAUUCUGGCAGCCCGAUUUUGUAAUUUUUGCAUAUUUUCACAUGAUGUUGUAUUAAAUUCAUCCCAGAACAAGGCUAUACAGUAAUCAAAGUGAGGUUAUAAAUUAUUGCAGUAUAUCUCCAUUGCAGUUUGGAUUGAUAUAAAAGGUCAUAUUCGUUUAGGAGCACCCGCAAGAAUUUUUUUACAUCUCAUAUCAAUAUGCUUGGACCAAGAAAGGUUUUUGUCAACUAGUAGACCUAGUCAUGAUUUAGCUUUGUCAACUUGUUUAAUUAGUGCCAUCUAUAGGUCAAUAUUGAUCGUUGACGGGAUCCAUGCAAUUAUUAUAAAAUCUGUCUUGGCAAUAUUGAGACUUAAUUUGUUUGCUUCUAUAACCAACAUUUCAGAUUUUUUAAUUCUGAAUUGAUUUCAUUUUCAAAUCCGGCCGCACAAUGUAUUAGCCGCAUGCAUAACUAAUAUUUGUAUCAUCGGUGAACAUUUUCAGUGAUGCUUUGACUGACAUAAGUCAGCAUGAUGUGCACGUAUACUGUAGGCCUACGUGCACAUGUUUACACAAAAAAAUUCCUGCGAUACUAAAGUCAAACUGACAUCUAUAGUUGACAUAAAUCAGAACACUUCAUAUUUUCUAUAAAAAUGCACUUUCCUUACGAAUAUUUCGUCAUGUAUAGGUUCAAGCCGAGCAAGAGAUAGGACAAAUUACAACAGCAGCGCAACUUAAAAUGAAGGUGUUGGCGACAGUUCUAGCUUUGACUUUUGUUACAACGCUUUGUGCAGUAAGUACAUAAGUAAUUUUUAACUAGCCAGUCUAACGUAAUGUCCGUGAACUUGUUUUUAAAUAAAGCAAAUAAAGUAAAAUAUAUUUUCUAUUUGAGACGUUUUAUGUUUAUCAUGCAUAUAGCAUGCAUGUAUCAUACCAUUUAAAGUAGGCAUGCACGAGCAAAUAUCAAAUUUUAUACAGUGAAUUUCAAAUUUUAGGACCCAACAAAUUAAAAUAUGUGCAUGCCAACGCAGUCGAAACGGAAUGAGUUUCUAUGACCGCUUAUAUAGCGCGCACGUAUAUAUCUUUCACCUUUGUGACUGGGAUUUUCGAUUCCCGGCUUUUAAAAUAUCCAAGGCCCUUCGUCGGGAUGUUAGUAUAGCGGGGUUGGGGAAUAUUACAUCAGCUUCU
RNAcentral lists this long non-coding RNA (2398 nucleotides) under Paramuricea clavata. Lineage: Eukaryota; Metazoa; Cnidaria; Anthozoa; Malacalcyonacea; Plexauridae. The record is from RNAcentral.